UACGUAGGCAGCGAGCGUUGUUCGGAGUUACUGGGCGUAAAGGGUGUGUAGGCGGUUUUCUAAGUUUGGUGUGAAAUCUCCCGGCUCAACCGGGAGGGUGCGCCGAAAACUGGGAGACUAGAGUGCGGGAGGGGAGAGUAGAAUUCCUGGUGUAGCGGUGAAAUGCGUAGAUAUCAGGAGGACUACCGGUGGUGUAGACGGCUCUCUGGACCGCCACUGACGCUGAGACACGAAAGCGUGGGUAGCAAACAGG
Molecule: ribosomal RNA, 253 nt
Filed under: uncultured bacterium
Lineage: Bacteria
Description: partial 16S ribosomal RNA
Rfam family: Bacterial small subunit ribosomal RNA
Source: RNAcentral